Molecule: transfer RNA, 396 nt
Filed under: Clostridioides difficile
Lineage: Bacteria; Bacillati; Bacillota; Clostridia; Peptostreptococcales; Peptostreptococcaceae
Description: 16S-23S ribosomal RNA intergenic spacer (ISR)
Rfam family: tRNA (bases 44-116)
Source: RNAcentral
GCCUACUGUUUAAUUUUGAAAGUUCUUUACGAACUUUAUAUAUGGGGGUGUAGCUCAGUUGGGAGAGCACUUGCCUUGCAAGCAAGGGGUCAGGAGUUCGACUCUCCUCAUCUCCACCAUUUAAGAGUAUAUUACUUAAAUCUUUGAUUUACUUAGUAGCCUCUUACAAUGCACUUAUAGCUUAAAUUUAUACAAGCUUUGUGUGUUAGCACUUUAAGCAACGGAAUAAACUGAACGCAUGUGAAGUUUGUUUGUUGGCAUUGUGCGUUAGCACUUUGAAAACUGCAUAUAUAUAUUUAGUGAUAUGACAUCUAAUUUGUAAUAUAUAAAGCUGAUAACUUUUAAAAAUUAUCAAGUUGAUAGACUUUAAUCUAUCAAACCUUUUUAACUGGUCAA